GGCCGGAUUCGCUGCUACGCCGCCUGGUGGAUGGCUCGGCUCGGGCGCCGACGAAGGGGGGUGGCAAGCUGCCAAAAGCCCCGGGGAGCCGCACGCAGGCUUAGAUCCGGGGAUCCCCGAAUGGGACCUCCUGCUAGGGGUGAACCCCUAGCGCUCCCGGCAGGGAGCGGGAACCCCCCGAAUUGAAGCAUCUCAGUAGGGGGAGGAAAAGAAACCAAACGGGAUGCCCUGAGUACCGGCGAGGGAAAGGGGCAGAGUUCAAACCGAACGCCUUCAGGCAACUGAAGGCGGAUGUGGGGUUGUGGGGGUGGCCACUUGCCUCCUGCCAGGGAAGCCGAAGUGGCCUGGAACGGCCCGCCAUAGAGGGUGAGAGCCCCGUAGGCGUAACCUGGUAGGAGGCUGGCCACUUCCCGAGUACCGUGGGUUGGAAUACCCGCGGGAAGCUGGGGGUCAUCGACCUCCAAAACUAAAUACGUCCCGAGACCGAUAGCGAACUA
This 497-nucleotide ribosomal RNA is filed under the name uncultured korarchaeote. RNAcentral's name for it is "bacterial LSU rRNA". It matches the Rfam family "Archaeal large subunit ribosomal RNA", at positions 1 to 489 of the family's 2987-position model. The record is from RNAcentral. Lineage: Archaea; Thermoproteati; Thermoproteota.